AACGAACGCUGGCGGCAUGCCUAACACAUGCAAGUCGAACGAGACCUUCGGGUCUAGUGGCGCACGGGUGCGUAACGCGUGGGAACCUGCCCUUAGGUUCGGAAUAACUCCCCGAAAGGGGUGCUAAUACCGGCUAAUGUCUUCGGACCAAAGAUUUAUCGCCUUUGGAUGGGCCCGCGUUGGAUUAGCUAGUUGGUAGGGUAAAAGCCUACCAAGGCGACGAUCCAUAGCUGGUCUGAGAGGAUGAUCAGCCACACUGGGACUGAGACACGGCCCAGACUCCUACGGGAGGCAGCAGUGGGGAAUAUUGGACAAUGGGCUAAAGCCUGAACCAGCAAUGCCGCGUGAGUGAUGAAGGCCUUAGGGUUGUAAAGCUCUUUUACCCGGGAUGAUAAUGACAGUACCGGGAGAAUAAGCUCCGGCUAACUCCGUG
RNAcentral lists this ribosomal RNA (433 nucleotides) under uncultured bacterium. RNAcentral describes it as "partial 16S ribosomal RNA". It matches the Rfam family "Bacterial small subunit ribosomal RNA", at positions 29 to 507 of the family's 1533-position model. The record is from RNAcentral.